RNAcentral lists this unclassified non-coding RNA (333 nucleotides) under soil metagenome. RNAcentral's name for it is "partial contains 5.8S ribosomal RNA, internal transcribed spacer 2, and large subunit ribosomal RNA". The stretch from base 1 to 120 matches the Rfam family "5.8S ribosomal RNA", at positions 35 to 154 of the family's 154-position model. The record is from RNAcentral.
GAUGAAGAACGUAGCGAAAUGCGAUAAGUAAUGUGAAUUGCAGAAUUCAGUGAAUCAUCGAAUCUUUGAACGCACAUUGCGCCCGCCAGUAUUCUGGCGAGCAUGCCUGUUCGAGCGUCAUUUCAACCAUCAAGCCCCAGGCUUGUGUUGGAGCCCUGCGGCUGCCGCAGCCUCCCAAAACCAGUGGCGGGCUCGCUAUCACACCGAGUGCAGUAGUUUACUCUUCGCUCAGGGCGUGUGGCGGGUGCUAGCCGUGAAACCCCCAACUUCUCAAGGUUGACCUCGGAUCAGGUAGGAAUACCCGCUGAACUUAAGCAUAUAAUAAGCGGAGGA